This 27-nucleotide non-coding RNA is filed under the name Mus musculus (house mouse). Lineage: Eukaryota; Metazoa; Chordata; Mammalia; Rodentia; Muridae. The record is from RNAcentral.
UACCUCUGGCAGUACUUUUGGUGUGUA